UUGGGAGCUUCCCAGAGUGGCUGGGAAAACCCAGCUAGAUGGGCGGGGUAUUAAUAAUAAUAAUAAUAAUAAUAAUAAUAAUAAUAAUAAUAAUUAUUACCCUGCCCACCUGAUGGGGCUGUCCCAGCCACUCUGGGCGGCUUCCAA
Podarcis lilfordi (Lilford's wall lizard) is the source of this 147-nucleotide non-coding RNA. Lineage: Eukaryota; Metazoa; Chordata; Lepidosauria; Squamata; Lacertidae. The record is from the annotation of a GenBank genome assembly.